RNAcentral lists this ribosomal RNA (448 nucleotides) under uncultured bacterium. Its description in RNAcentral is "bacterial SSU rRNA". It matches the Rfam family "Bacterial small subunit ribosomal RNA", at positions 355 to 825 of the family's 1533-position model. The record is from RNAcentral.
UCGAGAAUAUUCCACAAUGGACGAAAGUCUGAUGGAGCGACGCCGCGUGCAGGAUGAAGGCCUUAGGGUCGUAAACUGCGGUAGUACAGCAGCAAUGCAAAUGAGCGCUGUACGGAAAGAGGUGGGUAACUACGUGCCAGCACCAGCGGUAAUACGUAGACCUCAAGCGUUAUCCGGAUUUAUUGGGCGUAAAGCGUGUGUAGGCGGGUCGUUAAGUUGGGGGUGAAAUCCCGAGGCUCAACCUCGGAACUGCCUUCAAAACUGGCGACCUGGACCUAAGUAGAGGCAAGUGGAAUUGCGAGUGUAGAGGUGAAAUUCGUAGAUAUUCGCAGGAACACCAGUGGCGAAGGCGACUUGCUGGACUUAUGGUGACGCUGAGACGCGAAAGCGUGGGGAGCAAACAGGAUUAGAUACCCAUGUAGUCCCUGAGCGGGCUGGCAAGGCGCAU